Molecule: long non-coding RNA, 215 nt
Filed under: Medicago truncatula (barrel medic)
Lineage: Eukaryota; Viridiplantae; Streptophyta; Magnoliopsida; Fabales; Fabaceae
Description: long non-coding RNA (MTRU_LNC000248)
Source: RNAcentral
UCUCGGUUUUAUGGAAAGAACGGAAUGAUAGGUUAUUUCAGAAUCGUCAUAGUUCUAUACCACUACUGCUAGAUAAAGUAAAAUCAAAUACCUUGUGGUGGUUGAAAGCUAGUAACAUAGUUUUUAUUUUUGGUACACAUAGUUGGUGGUCGAGCCCGCUUCUAUGUUUGGGCAUUGACUAUCCUUGAUGUAAUUUUGACUGUGUUGUAAUCUUU